Molecule: ribosomal RNA, 429 nt
Filed under: Acidobacteriota bacterium
Lineage: Bacteria; Pseudomonadati; Acidobacteriota
Description: Acidobacteria bacterium partial 16S ribosomal RNA
Rfam family: Bacterial small subunit ribosomal RNA
Source: RNAcentral
UGGGGAAUUUUGUACAAUGGGGGAAACCCUGAUCCAGCCAUCCCGCGUGUGCGAUGAAGGCCUUCUGGUUGUAAAGCACUUUUGGCAGGAAAGAAACGUCAUGGGUUAAUACCCCGUGAAACUGACGGUACCUGCAGAAUAAGCACCGGCUAACUACGUGCCAGCAGCCGCGGUAAUACGUAGGGUGCAAGCGUUAAUCGGAAUUACUGGGCGUAAAGCGUGCGCAGGCGGUUCGGAAAGAAAGAUGUGAAAUCCCAGAGCUCAACUUUGGAACUGCAUUUUUAACUACCGGGCUAGAGUGUGUCAGAGGGAGGUGGAAUUCCGCGUGUAGCAGUGAAAUGCGUAGAUAUGCGGAGGAACACCGAUGGAGAAGGCAGCCUCCUGGGAUAACACUGACGCUCAUGCACGAAAGCGUGGGGAGCAAACAGG